This 460-nucleotide ribosomal RNA is filed under the name uncultured bacterium. RNAcentral describes it as "partial 16S ribosomal RNA". It matches the Rfam family "Bacterial small subunit ribosomal RNA", at positions 338 to 795 of the family's 1533-position model. The record is from RNAcentral.
CCUACGGGUGGCAGCAGUGAGGAAUAUUGGUCAAUGGGCGCGAGCCUGAACCAGCCAAGUAGCGUGAAGGAUGACUGCCCUACGGGUUGUAAACUUCUUUUAUAAAGGAAUAAAGUGAGGCACGUGUGCCUUUUUGUAUGUACUUUAUGAAUAAGGAUCGGCUAACUCCGUGCCAGCAGCCGCGGUAAUACGGAGGAUCCGAGCGUUAUCCGGAUUUAUUGGGUUUAAAGGGAGCGUAGAUGGGUUGUUAAGUCAGUUGUGAAAGUUUGCGGCUCAACCCGGGCCUUGCAGCGCGAACUGGCGUGCUGGAGUCCGCGGAAGGCAGGCGGAAUUCGUCGUGUAGCGGUGAAAUGCUUAGAUAUGACGAAGAACCCCGAUUGCGAAGGCAGCUUGCUGCAGCGGAACUGACGCUGAGGCUCGAAAGCGCGGGUAUCGAACAGGAUUAGAUACCCCAGUAGUC